RNAcentral lists this ribosomal RNA (237 nucleotides) under uncultured bacterium. RNAcentral describes it as "partial 16S ribosomal RNA". It matches the Rfam family "Bacterial small subunit ribosomal RNA", at positions 524 to 757 of the family's 1533-position model. The record is from RNAcentral.
UACGUAGGGGGCAAGCGUUGUCCGGAUUUAUUGGGCGUAAAGAGCGUGUAGGCGGUUUGGUAGGUCCGCUGUGAAAAACUCGAGGCUCAACCUCGAGACGCCGGUGGAAAACCAUCAGGCUAGAGUCCGGAAGAGGAGAGUGGAAUUCCUGGUGUAGCGGUGAAAUGCGCAGAUAUCAGGAAGAACACCCGUGGCUAAGGCGACUCUUUGGUCUGUAAACUGACGCUGAGGCGCGAA